UACGUAGGUGGCGAGCGUUAUCCGGAUUUACUGGGUGUAAAGGGUGUGUAGGCGGGAUGGCAAGUCAGAUGUGAAAAUUACGGGCUCAACUCGUAACCUGCAUUUGAAACUGCUGUUCUUGAGUGUCGGAGAGGUAGAUGGAAUUCCCAGUGUAGCGGUGAAAUGCGUAGAUAUUGGGAGGAACACCAGUGGCGAAGGCGGUCUACUGGACGAUUACUGACGCUGAGACACGAAAGUGUGGGGAGCAAAC
This 250-nucleotide ribosomal RNA is filed under the name uncultured prokaryote. Its description in RNAcentral is "partial 16S ribosomal RNA". It matches the Rfam family "Bacterial small subunit ribosomal RNA", at positions 524 to 773 of the family's 1533-position model. The record is from RNAcentral.